UACAGAGGGGGCAAGCGUUAUUCGGAAUUAUUGGGCGUAAAGGGCGCGUAGGCGGCCUGGCAAGUGGAAGGUGAAAUCCCUCGGCUUAACCGAGGAACUGCCCUCCAAACUGCUUGGCUUGAGUCCGGGAGAGGUGAGUGGAAUUCCCAGUGUAGCGGUGAAAUGCGUAGAUAUUGGGAGGAACACCAGUGGCGAAGGCGGGUCUCUGGGCCGAAAUUGACGCUGAGGAGCGAAAGCGUGGGGAGCGAACAGG
RNAcentral lists this ribosomal RNA (253 nucleotides) under uncultured bacterium. RNAcentral describes it as "partial 16S ribosomal RNA". It matches the Rfam family "Bacterial small subunit ribosomal RNA", at positions 524 to 776 of the family's 1533-position model. The record is from RNAcentral.